Molecule: long non-coding RNA, 1950 nt
Organism: Strigops habroptila (Kakapo)
Lineage: Eukaryota; Metazoa; Chordata; Aves; Psittaciformes; Psittacidae
Source: Ensembl
UUCCUUAACCAGCUCUGAUUUUUGCCAAUGAGUUUGACAAGUGUGUUGACAUUUCAGGUAUGCAACAAACCCAGGUAUCAGAUGAAUUUUUCAUUUUGCUCUUUCCACCUCAGAGUAUUCUCUCUUUGAUUAGACUCUCAGUCAAAAUUUCGCUGCCUUGUUCUGCAUGUUCAGAACCACCCAUUCCUUCACUUGUACCUCCUGAGCCACAGAGAUGCCAUACUGAAGAUGCUCUUGCCUACUGAACAAGAGGAGGGGAAAAAAAGUUCUUCUAUGUCAUGUCCAUUAUCCUCAAAAUAAUUUUCUCUUGUUGUGUUUCCUUGGAGGAAUAAUCCAGUUCCAAUUUGUCACAUUACCUGGCAAAACCUGUAAAGGUCAGAUUAAAACAUAGGCAGUGCAAGGGAGGGUUUAAAUUACUUUCUCCAAGGAUAUAUCCACUGGCACAGCAGUCUGAUCUGCAACCUGAUCUCCUCUGGCUUGGCCAACCUGGGUUUCACAUCCAUAAGUAAUAGCAGAAAGAUUUUAAUCAAAUGGCUGAAUAUUCAAAGUUGAGUUCUUUCCAACAUGUAAUUGUUUUAAGAAGAUCUGAGCAAACUUUAUACUAGCUCCCAUAAUUGUUGGAAGAGAACAUAUGAAGGCAGCAUCUUUCUCAAAGGCUUUUAAUGAGUCCCUGCAGUUUUAAUUGGCAACUGACUGUUGCCUUAUCUUUUCUUGCAAAUUAUCCAUGUUACCAAGCUCCUUGUGAAGUUAGAGUAAUUUCUGAGGCUGCAGCAAGCAAGCUAGAGAAUUAUUUCCAUAGGACUCCAUGAAAAAAAACACAGCAGUAGAAAAUUCAAACUCAUCCAAAUUUGGCAACAAAUUGCUAAACUACUGCCUUAAUCACACAGUGCGGCACUGAGUUUUGUACAAUAAGCACUGCUGAUAAGCAGAGAAGCUUCUCAGAGAAGCUUGAGAAACUCUUGUGCUGGCUUUUCAGGACACGCUCUUAGUUUCACCAGGAAAAGAUUUACAUAAUUUACAGAGAGCUUGAGCUUCUGCUUCGUUCUUUUUGCUAAUACUGUUUUCCUAAAAGCAUGGACUGGUGUUGAGCAUAAGUCCACUAAAACCUGCAGCCUCACAUCACAAUGCUUUUGUGGGAAGUUUUUAUUCGAAUUUUCCCUCUGAGAGAAUAUAAUUUCAGAUGCUAAGGGCACCUUUCAAGUAAAUAUAUUCUUUGUGCAUUAAAAAUCCACUCCUUUCACAAAAUCCUUGCUCCUCCAAAACUGCAAAAAAUACUACUUAACUCUGCUCAUCAGAUUAUUCUUCAACAGGAAUGACAACUACUGCACAAUAUUAACAGGAGAUAAAUUUUCACUUACUAAGAAUGUAUUUUGUGUUAUCAAAUGAAGAAUUACAAAGCUUUAUAUUUAACUGAAUAUAAACAACCUGAAUUCAACUGAGUUGGAGUUUUUUUCCUUUUUUUUUUUUCCUCUGACAUCUCAUUGUUCCUUGUACCACAUAUGUUACUAAGAAACAAAACCACAUUUGAAUUUUAACACAUUUUUGCUUCUUCAGACUCUUGCGAUAGCACACUCAGAAAUCCUGUUUGCUAGGCAAUGAGCAAGACAAAAUCCUUUUUUGGUGGAAACAUUCCUAAUUGACAGAGUCUAAUAUUAAGCUGUGUGGCUUGGGUAGUGCCAAGGUGCAUCUGCACAUCUCAUGUUCAGCCUCCUUUACUAUCACUGGACUCCCACACUAAUGCUACAUCCGUGGACAGGAAGAGAAAGGCAGAGGCAUGCAACUGCAGCAAGUCACCCACUCGCUGAUGUUUACCUUGGUGCUAACAGGUGACCAAGGCAGAGAUUUUAAGCACGCCAGCAUUCAGCCUGUUAUUAAUCUACAUGAGUGGUGGCCCUACCUUCCUCAGUGCUUCUGAACACCCAUGGGUUUGGUUGCUCUUUCUUCCCAGGC